GACGAACGCUGGCGGCGUGCUUAACACAUGCAAGUCGAACGGAAAGACCCUGCUUUUGUGGGGUGCUCGAGUGGCGAACGGGUGAGUAACACGUGAGUAACCUGCCCUUGACUUUGGGAUAACUUCAGGAAACUGGGGCUAAUACCGGAUAGGAGCUCCUGCUGCAUGGUGGGGGUUGGAAAGUUUCGGCGGUUGGGGAUGGACUCGCGGCUUAUCAGCUUGUUGGUGGGGUAGUGGCUUACCAAGGCUUUGACGGGUAGCCGGCCUGAGAGGGUGACCGGCCACAUUGGGACUGAGAUACGGCCCAGACUCCUACGGGAGGCAGCAGUGGGGAAUAUUGCACAAGGGGCUGAAGCCUGAUGCAGCAACGCCGCGUGCGGGAUGACGGCCUUCGGGUUGUAAACCGCUUUCGCCUGUGACGAAGCGUGAGUGACGGUAAUCGGUAAAGAAGCACCGGCUAACCACGUG
RNAcentral lists this ribosomal RNA (468 nucleotides) under uncultured bacterium. Its description in RNAcentral is "partial 16S ribosomal RNA". It matches the Rfam family "Bacterial small subunit ribosomal RNA", at positions 28 to 507 of the family's 1533-position model. The record is from RNAcentral.